This 253-nucleotide ribosomal RNA is filed under the name uncultured bacterium. RNAcentral describes it as "partial 16S ribosomal RNA". It matches the Rfam family "Bacterial small subunit ribosomal RNA", at positions 524 to 776 of the family's 1533-position model. The record is from RNAcentral.
UACGUAUGGGGCAAGCGUUAUCCGGAUUUACUGGGUGUAAAGGGAGCGUAGGCGGCGGGGCAAGCCUGAUGUGAAAGCCCGGGGCUCAACCCCGGGACUGCAUUGGGAGCUGCCCUGCUGGAGUGCCGGAGGGGCAGGCGGAAUUCCUAGUGUAGCGGUGAAAUGCGUAGAUAUUAGGAGGAACACCAGUGGCGAAGGCGGCCUGCUGGACGGUGACUGACGCUGAGGCUCGAGAGCGUGGGGAGCAAACAGG